UAUGUGAUCGUCUCUCGCAUAUCAAUAAGCGGAGGAAAAGAAACUAACAAGGAUUCCCCUAGUAACGGCGAGUGAGGCGGGAAGAGCUCAAAUUUGAAAUCUUAAAGGGUUUCCCUUUACGAAUUGUAGUUUAAAGAAGUGUUUUCUGUUGAGGUUUUGGUAAAAGUUCUUUGGAAUAGGACAUCAUAGAGGGUGAGAAUCCCGUAUUUGACCUUUACUUUCAACUUUGUGAUACACUUUCAAAGAGUCGGAUUGUUUGGGAAUGCAGUCCAAAAUGGGUGGUAAAUUUCAUCUAAAGCUAAAUAUUGGCGAGAGACCGAUAGCGAACAAGUACCGUGAGGGAAGAUGAAAAGAACUUUGAAAAGAGAGUUAAACAGUACGUGAAAUUGUCAAAGGGAAGCGUUUGACACCAGUGUUGUUUUUCUGAAAAUCAAUUAAAGAACUGUUUAUGCUAAGUUGUUUAGACUUUAUCAGCUAUCUGUUUAGUUUUGAGCUUUUCUUUAAUGCACUUUUCAGUUAACAAGUCAACAUCAAUUUCUUUUGCUGUAAAAAAGCUUGAGGAAGGUGGCUUGAGAUUCGUCUUAAGUGUUUAUAGCCUCUUGCCUAUGCAGUCGGAGAGAUUGAGGUCUGCAGCGUAGAUCCUUCGGGGCUAAAUGCAUUUGUGCUAAGUUAUAGCAUUUUAUAGACAACUUGUUGACUAUGAUUUGUCUUGUAGCUUACUCGCUUAUGUUAUUUUACCUACGCUUAGGAUGUUGACUGAUAUGUAGUCGU
Molecule: ribosomal RNA, 771 nt
Filed under: uncultured Neocallimastigales
Lineage: Eukaryota; Fungi; Neocallimastigomycota; Neocallimastigomycetes; Neocallimastigales
Description: partial large subunit ribosomal RNA
Rfam family: Eukaryotic large subunit ribosomal RNA
Source: RNAcentral